Molecule: long non-coding RNA, 2840 nt
Organism: Corvus hawaiiensis (hawaiian crow)
Lineage: Eukaryota; Metazoa; Chordata; Aves; Passeriformes; Corvidae
Exons: 2
Source: RefSeq, a predicted model, not a curated record
CAUGGCAGAGGUGGAACGGGAUGGGCUUUAAGGUCCCUUCCAACCCAAACCAGUCUGGGAUUCUGUGUUCUGGGGGCACAACCAGAUCUCAGUUGAGCAGGAUCCUCCACUCUGAGCAGAAAGAGGUUGAGGGGCUGGGAGAGGAGCCGUGGUUUGGGAAGCCUGGAUGCUGUGGCCGCAGCUUUCCUGCACAGCAGGAGCCCGUCAGAGCCUCACACUGGGGAAACAGCAGCUGAAGAUUCAGGUAAGGGAUAAUAGCGAGGAAAACAAAAUAAGAGCGAGAGAAAACUGAGCAGGAGAAAAAAAUUCUCAGCUGCAAAAGAGUAACACUGCUAAACAGGACGGGCUCGGUGCAGCCCCAAAUCCUGAGGCUCUGGGAAGAGCCAGCUCGGAGAAUCCCCAGUGAUUGACUGGGGGUUUAAUUUAUUCCUCGCAGCCAGACAGUGCUCUCUGCCUGUGCCGCUGCUCAGGCACGGCAGCCAACUCUCCCCUCCACCCGAGAGGGGCGGCUGCUCCUGCAUCCGAGUGUGGGCAGCUCCCGGCUGCGGAGCGACGCAGACAAAGCCAUGAGCGACAGGGGGGACACAGGGCUGGAGCCCCCGAAGGUGUGACCCAGCCCUCCCGGAGCUGUGUUUGUGCUGCUCCACGCCGGAGGCACCGGGCUCUGAUCCCCCCGGGGCAUUUCCCCAGCGCUCAUUCGCUCUGCACAGAGCCCAGCCGGCUCUCCAGCCGCAGCAAAACCUUUGCAUCCCUGCGGCUUCCCGGAGCCCUGCUCGCAGCAGCGGCUCCCCCCCGGCUGCCCCCGAGCAAAUGUCACCCGUACCCAAUGAGGCAGACCCCGAGGUGCCACGGAUGGAUCCCAGGAUUCUCAUUUUCCUUCUCUACGUGAUGAUCCUGCACGAGCUGGUGAGUGGAUGGAUGGAGUACCAGAAGCAGGUGGCCAAGCCGAAGAAGCAGGCGGGUCCCGUUUGGUCCUCCAGCAGCACCACCAGAUCAGCCCCCUCCAGCUUCUCCAGGCCCCUGGUGCACUCCGUGCGCAGGGAGAGGUACCGGGACUGGAGGAAACCGGGAAGGAUCAUCCGGAAAGCCUGAGCACGGAUCUGGGAGCGUGGGGACACUGCUGAGCCAGAGGCAGCCACCCCUCAGGGUCUGCAGCACCUCACACACGGAGAGAAUCCUCCAGGGAUCUGAAUCCUGCAGCUUUCCAGGGCUGAGAGGGAAUGAGCCCCUUCCUCCUGGGGAUUCAUCCCUGCCUGCUGAGGAGCCACUGUGGAGCAGUGGCAUAGCCCAAGGUGUGACUUUGCUUCCUUCUUCCCCAAGGGUUGAGUGGAUGGAGAGCAGAUUUCCCAGGGGAAAAAUGGAAUUUGCUCCUGCAUGGGCAGCCCUGGGAAGACUCCCAGUGGUUUCAGGCUCCUCUCCUCCCGCUCCAGGACCGCGUGGCCAGGCAGCAGCGUUUCCCAAAGUGGCUGGAAAACCUUCAGUAUCCAGUUUGUCACCACUCCCAGGAGAAGUUGCCUCCCCUGGGACACCCAGAAGUCACAGCACUUUGGGAAUGCUGGCUCCCUGUUAAGUCUCAUGCACUAAGAGCCUGCAAAUUUUUUUUCUGCUUUUCCUCACCUUUGUUAAAAUGAGUUAAUCCAGGAAAGAGGAGGAAAAAUGCCCUGAACCAGUGACUCAGGGUUAUGCCACCAAAUGCAAUUUACUGCAUUGGCCUUGGAAUUAGCAUUUUUGGAGCCUUCCCAGCAGCUGAGGCAAAUAAAUGUAAGAGCCAUUUUCUAAUGAGCAGAUAGGUGGGGAAGGAACACCGUAGUGCUCUUUCAGACUCUGCUAUUUAGGCAUAAAAUCAGAUUUUAGAGGCAGAAGUCAGCUGUUGCACCCUGCAGCCCCCAGAGCUGUUGUGGGCAGGGUGGGAAUCGUGGAGCACGGGAGGGAUUCUGACACUGGGCUCCAACAGCAGCUGCCCGUGGCCAAACUGCUCCUUAUUUGCUGAACAUAAUGUUUGGCUCAAACACAGCCUGUUUUCCUCGUUGCCAACCAUUUGUGAGCCUGACUCAGGCUCACAGAUGCAUUAUCCAGAAGCAGAUAGGAAGGGGAGUCGGAAUAGAUUAUGCAUUCAUUAUCCAGAAGUAGCCACCAGAUACAUUUGCACAUUUGUCUGCUGCUCAGUUGUUUGCAAAUCGUUCCUGGUGGUUGAUGCUGUGUUUGUUCAGUCAUCCAGGGCUGGAAGAUCCCAAUCCUCUCCCCCAGGCAGGCUGGAGCAGUAAUUUGGAUGUAAAUCUCUACUUUCACCCAGGGGAAAUGAAGUUUCUACCUUGAAGUUCAUGCCUUGUGUUGAGAUGGUUUUGAAAAGGGAGGCAGAAGUAGCUGUGAACAGUUUCUGCACAUUUCAAAGCAUAAACUCUGUGAAACUGUGCCUCAGCUCUGUUCCCCUGUCCUGAUCCAUGCAGGUACAAGCGACAGCAGCAGAUGGAGAAGGUGUCAGGAGGGAAAACGUUCAGGAAGUGCUGCUGUGUGCUGGGGGAAUUUGCUUCCCCGGAGCUGAGUGUGUGUCUGGGGGAUGUUCUCCCUGCUCUUCUGCCCGAGCCCGUGGGAGUUUGGGAACACUGGCUGUGGAAAAAGGGUUUGAGUUAAUUCCUGCAGCAGGGCAGGGGAGGACUGGCCCCAGGGACCACGCUGGGCUCCCAGCCUCAGCAGGACAGACAGACUGAGCAGGGACAGAGAGAUGCACCUUUAAGGAAGGGUGAAGGGCCAGGACUGCCUUGCCCUGAUGAUCACAUGCUGGAUUUAUCCCUGUAAAUAUAAACUUGUUUACUCCCAAUAAAUUCUUUUACACACACAGA